This 506-nucleotide ribosomal RNA is filed under the name uncultured bacterium. Its description in RNAcentral is "partial 16S ribosomal RNA". It matches the Rfam family "Bacterial small subunit ribosomal RNA", at positions 29 to 523 of the family's 1533-position model. The record is from RNAcentral.
AGUGAACGCUGGCGGUAGGCCUAACACAUGCAAGUCGAACGGCAGCACAGGAGAGCUUGCUCUCUGGGUGGCGAGUGGCGGACGGGUGAGGAAUUCAUCGGAAUCUACUCUGUCGUGGGGGAUAACGUAGGGAAACUUACGCUAAUACCGCGUACGACCUACGGGUGAAAGCAGGGGACCUUCGGGCCUUGCGCGAUUGAAUGAGCCGAUGUCGGAUUAGCUAGUUGGCGGGGUAAAGGCCCACCAAGGCGGCGAUCCGUAGCUGGUCUGGGAGGAUGAUCAGCCACACUGGAACUGAGACACGGUCCAGACUCCUACGGGAGGCAGCAGUGGGGAAUAUUGGACAAUGGGCGCAGGCCUGAUCCAGCCAUACCGCGUGGGUGAAGAAGGCCUUCGGGUUGUAAAGCCCUUUUGUUGGGAAAGAAAUCCAGCUGGCUAAUACCCGGUUGGGAUGACGGUACCCAAAGAAUAAGCACCGGCUAACUUCGUGCCAGCCGCCGCAGUAA